This 1179-nucleotide long non-coding RNA is filed under the name Elaeis guineensis (African oil palm). Its description in RNAcentral is "long non-coding RNA (EGUI_LNC021182)". The record is from RNAcentral. Lineage: Eukaryota; Viridiplantae; Streptophyta; Magnoliopsida; Arecales; Arecaceae.
GCCCUCAGAUCUCAUAGCUCUAUAAAUUCACCGCGGCUCAAAUAAUGGUAUUUCACUUUGAGCAUUUCAUGUGCAAACAGAAGGAUGUCGUAAAAGAAGAAGAAGAAGAAGAAGAGAAGAGAAAAGAUGGGUCAUGACAAAUAGUAAAAGCAGCAGCAGCAGCAGCAGCAGCAGAGGAGUUGGUGGUGCUGUGGUGGUAUAGCAAGGGCACAGUAAUGCUCAAAAGAAUAGCCAUACAGCCACUCCAUAAACAUGUUUCCAUCAUUGGGCAUCAUCAAAGUUCAAGACACAACAAGAAUCCAACCAAAUAAUCACCAGGAAAACAUCCAGAAAGGCAUUUCUACUUAUCAGUUUAACAUCUAACUCAUAAAAAAAGGGCAUUGUAAUGCUUUGCAAGUUUCAAUAAUGCAAAAAUCCAACGUCUCAAAGAAUCCGCACUUCUGAUUCAAGAACUGAAAUCGAGAUAUAGUGCCAAAAUGUUUAGACAGUGAGAAAGCGUCAAAUACGCGACAUGAACAGCCUUCCGUAUCCGAAAUCUCCAUAAGAAAUCCCAUCUUUUUCUUUUUCUAAAAAAAUGUCAACAAAUCCAAAAAAUUUUACCAAUUGCCCUUUAUUUUUUUAAGGCGGAGAAAACAAUUAAAAAAUCUAAAUAAUAAGUUUCACGAGAGGAGCCCUCAGAUCUCAUAGCUUUCAGCAUUCAUCGACGGCUUAAUGGCUGAUUUUUCAUAGUGAGCAUCUUUGACAUGCAUAGAAGAAGAAGAUGAUGANNNNNNNNNNNNNNNNNNNNCGACGACGGUGAUGGUAAUGAUGAUGAUGACGAUGAUGAUGGCGGCUGCAGUGGGAAUGGUGAUAAGAUUAAAGCACGCACAGAUGCUCAAAAUGAAAGACCAAGAAGCCGCUCCAAAAUCCACAAGGUUUCCAUCAUCGGGCAUUACAUAAACACGACUAACAUCUUUAGCAACAGAAAGAUAAAAUUAAAAUUUAACAAAAAGGUGAAUAGAGUACGCUGGUAUCCACUCCGACGAUCCACAGACUUCUUAUUCAAGGAAAAUCCCCAACAAUAAAUACGUCAAUAAAUCAAACAUAUUUUCUAUUGCAAUACAAAAGCGAUAUCUGGGGAAAAAACUAUGCGAGAACUAGAGAAUUUUUGUUAAAAAAAAAUAGAAAAAACAUUAGGAC